This 357-nucleotide ribosomal RNA is filed under the name Triticum aestivum (bread wheat). RNAcentral's name for it is "partial small subunit ribosomal RNA". The record is from RNAcentral. Lineage: Eukaryota; Viridiplantae; Streptophyta; Magnoliopsida; Poales; Poaceae.
AUGGCUAUCUUGAAGCGGUGCCUAGCGAGCGCCGAGACCUGCUCGUUGCUUCUCAUCUUCUUCGUCCGGGCUGUUGUGGAGCGUGCACACGCGGCCCACGAGCGGGUCGCCAAGGACGAGGAUGCGGCGUACAAAGCCGCAUGCGACGCACUGGCGGCGGCCAGCAAGCAGCUCGGCGAACUCGGCCUGAGGGUCGACGACUGCAGCCAGAAGGUGCGCCAACGGCUGGACGACGAUGAUCUCUGGGCUGCUUUGGCCACCGAGCAGCAGGAGGAGGAGAGGCUCAUGGCCGAGGUGGAGCGCGCCAGGCAGGACGUCGACAGGAAGAAGCCAAAGGAAGAUACAGGAGAAGUGUAA